GACGAACGCUGGCGGCGUGCUUAACACAUGCAAGUCGAACGGAAAGGCCCUGCUUUUGUGGGGUGCUCGAGUGGCGAACGGGUGAGUAACACGUGAGUAACCUGCCCUUGACUUUGGGAUAACUUCAGGAAACUGGGGCUAAUACCGGAUAGGAGCUCCUGCUGCAUGGUGGGGGUUGGAAAGUUUCGGCGGUUGGGGAUGGACUUGCGGCUUAUCAGCUUGUUGGUGGGGUAGUGGCUUACCAAGGCUUUGACGGGUAGCCGGCCUGAGAGGGUGACCGGCCACAUUGGGACUGAGAUACGGCCCAGACUCCUACGGGAGGCAGCAGUGGGGAAUAUUGCACAAUGGGCGGAAGCCUGAUGCAGCAACGCCGCGUGCGGGAUGACGGCCUUCGGGUUGUAAACCGCUUUCGCCUGUGACGAAGCGUGAGUGACGGUAAUGGGUAAAGAAGCACCGGCUAACUACGUGCCAGCAGCCGCGGUGAUACGUAGGGUGCGAGCGUUGUCCGGAUUUAUUGGGCGUAAAGGGCUCGUAGGUGGUUGAUCGCGUCGGAAGUGUAAUCUUGGGGCUUAACCCUGAGCGUGCUUUCGAUACGGGUUGACUUGAGGAAGGUAGGGGAGAAUGGAAUUCCUGGUGGAGCGGUGGAAUGCGCAGAUAUCAGGAGGAACACCAGUGGCGAAGGCGGUUCUCUGGGCCUUUCCUGACGCUGAGGAGCGAAAGCGUGGGGAGCGAACAGGCUUAGAUACCCUGGUAGUCCACGCUGUAAACGGUGGGUACUAGGUGUGGGGUCCAUUCCACGGGUUCCGUGCCGUAGCUAACGCUUUAAGUACCCCGCCUGGGGAGUACGGCCGCAAGGCUAAAACUCAAAGGAAUUGACGGGGCCCCGCACAAGCGGCGGAGCAUGCGGAUUAAUUCGAUGCAACGCGUAGAACCUUACCUGGGUUUGACAUGGAUCGGGAGUGCUCAGAGAUGGGUGUGCCUCUUUUGGGGUCGGUUCACAGGUGGUGCAUGCCUGUCGUCAGCUCGUGUCGUGAGAUGUUGGGUUAAGUCCCGCAACGAGCGCAACCCUUGUUCACUGUUGCCAGCACGUUAUGGUGGGGACUCAGUGGAGACCGCCGGGGUCAACUCGGAGGAAGGUGGGGAUGACGUCAAGUCAUCAUGCCCCUUAUGUCCAGGGCUUCACGCAUGCUACAAUGGCUGGUACAGAGAGUGGCGAGCCUGUGAGGGUGAGCGAAUCUCGGAAAGCCGGUCUCAGUUCGGAUUGGGGUCUGCAACUCGACCUCAUGAAGUCGGAGUCGCUAGUAAUCGCAGAUCAGCAACGCUGCGGUGAAUACGUUCCCGGGGCU
This 1346-nucleotide ribosomal RNA is filed under the name uncultured bacterium. RNAcentral describes it as "partial 16S ribosomal RNA". It matches the Rfam family "Bacterial small subunit ribosomal RNA", at positions 28 to 1381 of the family's 1533-position model. The record is from RNAcentral.